RNAcentral lists this ribosomal RNA (439 nucleotides) under uncultured bacterium. RNAcentral describes it as "partial 16S ribosomal RNA". It matches the Rfam family "Bacterial small subunit ribosomal RNA", at positions 339 to 795 of the family's 1533-position model. The record is from RNAcentral.
CUACGGGUGGCUGCAGUGAGGAAUAUUGCACAAUGGGGGGAACCCUGAUGCAGCAACGCCGCGUGGAGGAUGACGCAUUUCGGUGUGUAAACUCCUUUUAUAUGUCAAGAAAAUGACGGUAGCAUAUGAAUAAGCACCGGCUAACUCCGUGCCAGCAGCCGCGGUAAUACGGAGGGUGCAAGCGUUACUCGGAAUCACUGGGCGUAAAGGGCGCGUAGGCGGGUUGGAAAGUCAGGUGUGAAAUCCUACAGCUUAACUGUAGAACUGCACUUGAAACUUCUAAUCUAGAGUAUGGGAGGGGGAGAUGGAAUUAGUGGUGUAGGGGUAAAAUCCGUAGAUAUCACUAGGAACACCUAAAGCGAAGGCGAUCUCCUGGAACAUUACUGACGCUAAGGCGUGAAAGCGUGGGGAGCAAACAGGAUUAGAUACCCGGGUAGUC